UUCAGUGGCCUCAUGGUACAUUUUGCCGCUUAGUUACUAGCGAUCGACGCAGUGCAUCCUUUAUCACUCGCCUACUCUUUCUUUAUUUCAUUUGAACUCAAUUUAAAUGAUUCACUGUUCCGUAUGAUCGCCACUACUACUCUAUUCCCGUCUCCAAAGCGCAUCGUUCCAUUCAAUUUCUAUCGCCGUCUCUAUUCCUCUGGCGACGGUGCUGCUGCCGCUGGUGACGGACCAUCGAAAUUGAGUUUUAGAGGCGGCGGAGACCGUGUUUCUUUGAGGAAAAUGGAGUUGAUACGGGCAGUUAUCCGCGGCGGCGACGGUGGCUGUUUUAAAGGAGGCGGAGAUGCAGGUGAUGAUGGUAAAGCGUUGAAAAUUGAAGCUGAUAGCGGCGGGGACGAUGUUUUUGAUGCAACCGCUGUUGAUUCAAGGGUUCCGCCUAAUCAUCUCGUUAUUAUGGUUAACGGCAUAGCUGGCAGUUCUACAGAUUGGAAGUAUGCUGCAGAGCAAUUUGUGAAAAAACUUCCUGAUAAAGUAUUAGUGCAUUGCAGCGAAUGCAACUACUCCAAACUGACAUUUGAUGGUGUAGAUUUGAUGGGUGAAAGGCUAGCUAAAGAGGUAUUGGCUGUUGUCAAACACAAGCCUGAUAUGAAGAAGAUCUCCUUUGUGGCUCACUCAUUAGGGGGUCUUAUUGCAAGGUAUGCUAUUGCGAGGCUGUAUGAAAAUUUACCAAAAUUAGGCCUCGCAAGUGUUUCUGGUAAUUCCUUAAAUGAAGAACGUGAUAAUUCAAUGGAAUGCGCUGAGCCGGCUUGUGAAGCUAGAAUUGCUGGAUUAGAACCCAUGAACUUUAUAACAUUUGCAACACCACAUCUUGGUUCAAGAGGAAAUAAACAGCUGCCAUUUCUUUGUGGUCUCUCUUUUCUGGAGAGAAGAGCUUGUCAGACUGCUCAUUUAAUUGUUGGGAGGACUGGAAAGCAUCUCUUUCUCACUGACAAUGAUGAUGGGAAACCUCCUCUUCUACUUCAAAUGGUUAAUGAUUCGAAUGACCUAAAAUUCAUAUCAGCUUUACGUGCAUUUAAGCGCCGUGCUGCAUAUGCAAAUGCAAAUUAUGACCAUAUGGUUGGGUGGAGGACUUCAUCAAUUAGACGUCAAGCUGAACUUCCGAAGGUUGCUUAUAAGAAAAGACCCUCUUUUUUUUUAAUCACUUUGCCCAACCUACUUGCAACAGAUCAGAAAUAUCCACAUAUUGUACACAUUGAGGUGGAAACUAAGGACGAACACCGUGAUAAAGCGUCUGCAGUCACUGCAGAACAACCAACUGAUUUGGAAGAGGAGAUGAUAAAAGGUCUGACUCAAGUACCUUGGGAACGUAUAGAUGUUAGCUUUCACAAAAGCAGACAACGGUAUAUUGCUCAUAGUACCAUUCAGGUGAAGAUAUACUGGUUAAAUUCAGAUGGUGCUGAUGUGGUCUUCCAUAUGAUAGAUAACUUCCUUCCCUAACUGUCCGCUACAGUUGGUAAGGAACCAUGUCACAUGGCAUUAAAUUGGUGAGACUUUCCUCUGGCACUGAUGAAAUUCUAUUAAUUGAUCUGUGAGAUGUUUUCAGAUUUUUAACCAAUCGGUUUGAAAUUUGACAAUUGGUUGGAGCGACUUCAGUCACCUGACCAUUUUACAAACAAGGUUGAGAUUCUUUUUUAUGUUUACAUUUUCUACAUAUUGGAGGGAGAGCUUUAGCACAGUGGUAAAGUUGUUCCUUUGGUGACUUGUUGGUCAUAAGAUCAGCUUGGAAAUAGCUUUUUUUCGCAAAAUUUAAAUGCUAGGUUGCAUAGGGAUUUCUCGCCCUCCCCUACCUCACAAUAGACGUGGAGCAUUUUAUACUCUCAACAUGUAGUAGGAAAAGUUUAAACAAACAUACAGUGGGAAGAAUAUUACAAUUUAUCACCUCUGCUGAUAGAUCAUAAUAUGACCUGGUGCAGCUAGUCAUCUUUUGUGUUGGAUGCAUUUUCAUAUGUUAUAAUGUUAUAUAGUCAAUAGUUCUUAUGUAAA
This is an RNA transcript of Mercurialis annua (annual mercury), 2043 nucleotides long. RefSeq lists it as uncharacterized. The transcript is spliced from 12 exons. The record is from RefSeq and is a predicted model, not a curated record. Lineage: Eukaryota; Viridiplantae; Streptophyta; Magnoliopsida; Malpighiales; Euphorbiaceae.